This 495-nucleotide ribosomal RNA is filed under the name uncultured delta proteobacterium. Its description in RNAcentral is "bacterial SSU rRNA". It matches the Rfam family "Bacterial small subunit ribosomal RNA", at positions 95 to 576 of the family's 1533-position model. The record is from RNAcentral. Lineage: Bacteria; Deltaproteobacteria.
GUGGCGCACGGGUGAGUAACGCGUGGGUAAUCUACCCUGGGGUUCGGGAUAACCGGCCGAAAGGCUGGCUAAUACCGGAUAACGUCACCGCACACAAGUUCGGUGACCAAAGGAGGCGCAAGCUUCCGCCGUUGGAUGGGCCCGCGUACCAUUAGCUAGUUGGCAGGGUAACGGCCUACCAAGGCUACGAUGGUUAGCUGGUCUGAGAGGACGAUCAGCCACACUGGAACUGAGACACGGUCCAGACUCCUACGGGAGGCAGCAGUGGGGAAUAUUGCGCAAUGGGGGAAACCCUGACGCAGCGACGCCGCGUGAGCGAUGAAGGCCCUCGGGUCGUAAAGCUCUGUCAGGUGGGAAGAACCGUUCGUAGACGAAUAAUCUGCGGACCUGACGGUACCACCAGAGGAAGCACCGGCUAACUCCGUGCCAGCAGCCGCGGUAACACGGAGGGUGCGAGCGUUGUUCGGAAUUACUGGGCGUAAAGGGCGCGCAGGC